Molecule: long non-coding RNA, 483 nt
Organism: Olea europaea var. sylvestris
Lineage: Eukaryota; Viridiplantae; Streptophyta; Magnoliopsida; Lamiales; Oleaceae
Exons: 2
Source: RefSeq, a predicted model, not a curated record
AGAAUAUUUGGGAAAUUCAUUCGAACAUCGACCAAUUUUAGUUAAGUAUUAAAGAAGUAGAUUUUAAAGUUUCUUAAUUUAAUAGUGGUUGAUUAGUCAUUUUGUUACAUAUUACAGGUGGUGACGAAGAAAUUGGCAAAGCUUACCGACCGACCUAGUCUGUAGCUCGUAUUGAAUAGAAGCUACGUUGAGCCAUAUCAGAGCCUGUCGUUCGACGAGUUGAGCUUCAUCGUGUCAUUGUUUGUAUGUCUCAUUUUGUUAAUUCAUACCACAUAUAUUUUGGGGAGUAAUGUAUUUUGUGUCAAAAUGUAUUAAGUCUCAUACCCAUUGCAUAUUUUGUGUAUGUUUUGAAAUGAAGUGGUUUGGUGGUAAAAAAAAAGGGAAAUUUUCUUUUUCAGUACAACUACUUGAAGAAUUGGUAUUUUGAUGGGCCGGUGUACCCUAUUUUAAAGUAUGUGUAUAUGUUUGGGAUUUUUGGUUUUA